UGGGGAAUAUUGCACAAUGGGCGAAAGCCUGAUGCAGCGACGCCGCGUGAGGGAUGACGGCCUUCGGGUUGUAAACCUCUUUCAGCAGGGAAGAAGCGAAAGUGACGGUACCUGCAGAAGAAGCGCCGGCUAACUACGUGCCAGCAGCCGCGGUAAUACGUAGGGCGCAAGCGUUGUCCGGAAUUAUUGGGCGUAAAGAGCUCGUAGGCGGUUAGUCGCGUCUGCUGUGAAAACUCGAGGCUCAACCUCGGGCUUGCAGUGGGUACGGGCUGACUAGAGUGCGGUAGGGGUGACUGGAAUUCCUGGUGUAGCGGUGGAAUGCGCAGAUAUCAGGAGGAACACCGAUGGCGAAGGCAGGUCACUGGGCCGCAACUGACGCUGAGGAGCGAAAGCAUGGGGAGCGAACAGGAUUAGAUACCCUGGUAGUCCAUGCCGUAAACGUUGGGCACUAGGUGUGGGGUCCAUUCCACGGAUUCCGUGUCGCAGCAAACGCAUUAAGUGCCCCGCCUGGGGAGUACGGCCGCAAGGCU
This 530-nucleotide ribosomal RNA is filed under the name uncultured bacterium. RNAcentral's name for it is "partial 16S ribosomal RNA". It matches the Rfam family "Bacterial small subunit ribosomal RNA", at positions 355 to 895 of the family's 1533-position model. The record is from RNAcentral.